RNAcentral lists this ribosomal RNA (482 nucleotides) under uncultured bacterium. RNAcentral's name for it is "partial 16S ribosomal RNA". It matches the Rfam family "Bacterial small subunit ribosomal RNA", at positions 30 to 507 of the family's 1533-position model. The record is from RNAcentral.
AUUGAACGCUGGCGGCAUGCCUUACACAUGCAAGUCGAACGGUAACGGGCCUUCGGGUGCCGACGAGUGGCGCACGGGUGCGUAAUACUUCGGCACGUGCCCGCUCGUUGGGGGUCACGAGGCGCAACCUUUGCUCAUACCUCAUACGAUCUACGGUUGAAAGCCGGGGACCGCAAGGCCUUGCGCGGACGUUGCGGCCGAUGGCAGAUUAGGUCGGUGGUGGGUUAAAAGCUUACCAAGCCGACGCUUGGUAACCGGUCUGAGAGGAUGAUCAGUCACACUGGGACUGAGACACGGCCCAGACUCCUACGGGAGGCAACAGUGGGGAAUUUUGGACAAUGGGCGCAAGCCUGAACCAGCCAUGGCGGGUGGAGGGAGGAGGCCUUCGGGUUGUAAACUGCUUGUGUACGGAACAAAAAGACUUCGUUUAAUACAGGAGGGGCAUGACGGUACCGUAAGAAGAAGCACCGGCUAACUACGUG